Molecule: long non-coding RNA, 713 nt
Filed under: Homo sapiens (human)
Lineage: Eukaryota; Metazoa; Chordata; Mammalia; Primates; Hominidae
Description: HSALNT0098482
Source: RNAcentral
AUGGGGUUGAGGCUGUGGGGCACAGGGUUGAGGCCCAGGCUCUUUGGGUCAAGCUUUUGCCCAGAGCCAAAGCCAGCUGACCUUGUCUCCUAGGAAGCCUCCUCAUUACCAUUGAGGACGUGAAUGACAAUGCACCCUAUUUUCUGCCUGAGAAUAAGACUUUUGUGAUCAUCCCUGAACUCGUGCUGCCCAACCGGGAGGUGGCUUCUGUCCGGGCCAGAGACGAUGAUUCAGGGAACAAUGGCGUCAUCCUGUUCUCCAUCCUCCGAGUAGACUUCAUCUCUAAGGACGGGGCCACCAUCCCUUUCCAGGGUGUCUUCUCGAUCUUCACCUCCUCCGAGGCCGACGUGUUCGCUGGGAGCAUUCAGUAACUGCGGGCGGCCCCGGGAGGGAGGUUGCGGGGAGGGGCCCGAUAGGAGCUUUCAGGCAGCAAGUCCCCCAUCCUGGAGGUUACAAGGGUCCUGAGGAUUCAGCUUGGGUUCCAAGACUGACCUGCGCCUCCCGCCUUCCGCAGGCCGGUGACCAGCCUCGACUCCACUCUCCAAGGCACCUACCAAGUGACAGUCCAGGCCAGGGACAGACCUUCCUUGGGUCCUUUCCUGGAAGCCACCACCACCCUGAAUCUCUUCACCGUGGACCAGAGUUACCGCUCGCGGCUGCAGUUCUCCACACCGAAGGAGGAGGUGGGCGCCAACAGACAGGCGAUUAAUGCG